GUACGCGCUGUGGGCGACUGACUUCUUUCAGCUCCAAACGGCUCUGCUCAGGUACCGUAGACUUCGCCAAUAAAAAUUCAUCAUUCGUUCGUCAGUCGUUUGUGCGCUGGCAUGUAAGUACUCUGGUGACGUCACAGUCUUCGGCACGGCCGACUGAACUUGCUUGUUCUUUUAAAGACAUUUCCAAGAUAAACAUGGCGAGGGAUCGGUACGUCUCGUGCGUUAAUUUUUGUGUGUGCUUGUGCGUUUUUGUGUUCUUUUCCAUUUCUUGUGCCGCUUCAGAUAGCAGUUAUUACUAUUAUAAGACCAUUCCCUUUAGUGACGUAAGCAAUCCUUCAUACUAUGGAGGCUUAGUUCAAUUUGACCAGAUAAGCAGCCAAAGACAUCGUAGAGACUUAGAAAAUCUUUUAGAAUUAAGUACUCAAUCCAGUAAUGUAACGAAAAGUAUAUUACCAGAGAAAAAGCAUCAAGAAAACUCAGCUGAAACAGAGAAAAGUGUAAAUACGAAAGAUUUAAAUGUGAGAGUUAUUCACAACCUCGGAGUUAAUGGUACUGGUCAACGCAAAAACAUCACCGAGUUGCACCAACAGCCUGUUCCGGUUCCUGUCCACAUGGUGAACACGUUAGUAAAUACGCCUUUGAAAAAUUUGACCAUGUUCUUGGGAGAAGCGGAAGAAGAACUUCCAGAUAUAUUGCCGGAUGCGCCGGAUAAUAGUACUCUGGAGUCACAAAACAUCACAAUGAAGACGGAUACACAUAUAUUUUAUAACAGCACCAUAUACAACAAUCCUGACGUAGGAAAAACAUUUUGGGUCGAUUUGUCAAAGAGAUCUGAUGUUAAAGUCAAUGAACUUCUGUCGAACUCUUACAGAAGAGCAGCAACUAUAAAACUGUCAUUUGAUUUUCCAUUCUACGGACAUUAUAUUAAAAAUGUUACUGUGGCCACUGGAGGAUUUUUAUAUACAGGAAAUUACGUACAUUCUUGGUUAGCAGCUACACAGUAUAUCGCCCCAUUAAUGGCUAAUUUCGAUACGUCGCUAUCAAAUGAUAGCUAUAUAAAAUUUGUUGAUAAUGGAACAUCAUUUACAGUAGAAUGGGAAAGAGUAAUAUUGCAAGAUAAACGUAAAGAUGGCGAAUUUACUUUUCAAACGACAUUACACAAAAAUGGAGAUAUAGUGUUUGCUUAUAAGAAUGUCCCUUUAUUAAUUGAAGAUAUCAAUGACGACUUUCAUCCUGUCAAAGUUGGACUUUCUGACGCCUACAUUUUAGAUAGGACGAUAUUUUUUGUAAGGAGAAAAACAAUUUACGAAUAUCACAGAGUUGCGUUUACGAAAGAAGAAAUUAAAAAUUUGACUGCAAUCUACUUAAAAGCUUUACCUACUUGUCUUGAUUUUCACAAUUGCUCAUCGUGCGUGAAUGCUGAACUAAGUCUUGAAUGCAAAUGGUGUCCAACCUUAAAUCAAUGCUCGACUGGCAAAGACAGAAACCGACAGGAAUGGAUUGACAGAGGUUGUGAAGCUAGAAACAUCAGUCAACUAACGAAGUGUGAUGGCAUCUAUGAAGAAAGUGAAUAUAUCAAUAACAGUCCCAAUUACGACGUUGAACGGGGAGACAAUUUUGACAAUGACUAUAUAGGAAAAAUGGCACAGCAAAAUCAGUUAGGGGCAUCCGGAUAUAUAGCUGUUAUAUUUUUAAUAGCUAUGGUGUGCGGGUUUGGUUUUUGGACAGCCUACGCCUAUCGAAAUCCGCAUACAACAAGUGGCCAGAUUCUAAUUCGGAACAGUUACAAGCACAAUAUGGGUAACAAUCACUAACCGAUUUACAUUAGGACAUAUAUAGGCUGUGACAGUCGUUAAUGGUGGAUACGGUGAGUACCGGCCUAGCCAAUGGCGAUGGAGACGUGGUGAAGCUAGGUAUACUGCAGCAACAAUUCAUAUGUGAUAUCAAACUGUAGUGCCUUUAAAGUAUUAACUCAUCAUUCCAUAUUUCGACAUUAUAUUUGCAUUUGAUAAAAUUGUUUACUUUACUAAAGACUCGGUGAACUAUUGCAAAGUGAGUAGUCAUAAUGUAUUCAUCUGAUUAAAUACCUUAUUGUGACAUUUGUGACUAGUAUCAUCUAAUAAAAUGGUAUACUAUGGACA
Molecule: unclassified non-coding RNA, 2141 nt
Filed under: Sitophilus oryzae (rice weevil)
Lineage: Eukaryota; Metazoa; Arthropoda; Insecta; Coleoptera; Curculionidae
Description: plexin domain-containing protein 2, transcript variant X1
Source: RNAcentral